Balaenoptera acutorostrata (minke whale) is the source of this 3830-nucleotide long non-coding RNA. RefSeq lists it as uncharacterized. The transcript has 4 exons. NCBI's taxonomy places the organism in Eukaryota, Metazoa, Chordata, Mammalia, Artiodactyla, Balaenopteridae. The record is from RefSeq and is a predicted model, not a curated record.
GGCACGUGAUCGCCGUCUCCUGUGCCGUGCCGGAAAGCUUAGAAAAAAAUGUCUGCCAAACCGAGGAAGCCGAUGUUUGGAGGCGGGAGUUCACCAGAAUACGGUUUCUUAUUUCCAUAGAUAAAGCUACCCAUGUGAUGUGACGUUAUAUUGUGAUUCCUGCUCAUAGAAUUUAGAAUAGAACCUCUGAUUUGUUAGAAAUAGGGAAACCCAAGAUGGAGUCACAGUGGCCAGUGUGGCACCCAUCUUGAUUGUUUCUAAAGAUCUGAUGUAAGAUUUGGAAUAUGUAAAUUAAGAUAACUGGAGUGUGAAGUCAAAUAAGUAAAUUGAUUUUUUUUUUUUUGGGUUGGGGGAGUUGGCUGUGUCAAAGGGCUUGUGGGAUCUUAGUUACCCAACCAGGGAUCAAAUUCGGGCCCUCGUCAGUGAAAGCCUGGAGUUCUAACGGCUGGACCACCAGGGUCCAGUAAUUGUUUUUAAAGGUGUGUGGAAAGACUUAAAGAAAGAUGCAUAGCAUGAGUUGUGCGUUUAAGUUUUAUUUGGGAUCUUUCUGAGGACUAAAGCCCGGGAGACAGCCACUCAGUAAACUGUGGCAACUACUCGGUAGAGGUAGGGGAGAAGCCAGUUUAUACAUGGUUUUUGGCCAGGGAAUACCUGAAGUCAAGCAUAUAUCUUGGUAAGAUUACUACUAAUCAUAAAGAACAGAUGUCUCCAGUUAAUCUUUUCAGCUUCUCUAUGUAUGGGAACAUGCAAGAAUCUAGGGUCAUUAAAAUUCUUCCUGAGAUAUACAUCUAACUAUCUGUGGGACCUGCGUAUUUGUGUGCGUCCAAAGCACAGAUGCCUCAUUCUGUUUUCGCCUUAAAUUCCCCUAAAAAUCCUACUGUCAGUCAGCAACUGCGGUGGGUUACAACUGAACUCUUGUGGAAAUGGGUGGUGAACAAUGCUCUUUGUCUUAGUGAUCCUAAUUUUUCGGGGUCCACACCUCUAUGUUGACUUUAAAAAAUGCACAACCUAAAGUUGACAGUUAUAUUUUAUUUGGGGAACCUUACUAAGGACUAUAGCCCGGGAAUUAGCUUCUCAGAUCGCUCUGAAGAACUGUUCCAAAGAGGUAAGUGAGGAGCCAGGAUAUGUAGGAGUUUUUGCUGGGGAAAGAAAAAAAAUGUAGUCAAACUUCAAAAGAUUACUGCUAAUUACAAAAAACAGACAUCUCAAGUAAAAGGUUUUAAUGCUUUUCUAUGUAUGGGAAGGUGCAAGUGUCUGGGCUCAUUGAAAUUAUUCCUUUGAUAUGCAUCUUAACUAUCUAGGGCCAGUAUCCUCUUUUUCUCCACCUUGAAUUCCCCUCAGGAUGCACUCUCAGGGCAGCUGCAGUGACUGUUGGCUUGAUGGCAGACAGCAUUUUUUGUUUACUGAAAUGGCAGGCAACAUUUUUUUGUCCACAGGUAAGGCUCCUUGCUGCUGGGGUUGUAACUGUUGCACCCUAGGGAUUGUACCUCACAAAAGACAGGGUCUGAGUGCGGUUGCUGGAGAAGGGUCUCGACAGACUGCAUGCGCUAUGCUCACUGGAGACUGUCCGUGUCAGAAGCUGCCGGAGUAGAAGCCCAUCUCUUCUCUUCUCUUCUCCUCUCCAUCCUGCACCCUGAUGGGCUCUGCAUGUGCGUGGCCACCCAGCCCCCAAGUGCCAGGGUAGUCACCCGCUCUCCUGUGAGCAGUCACCCCCAAUAGCCCUAAAGGGAGGACACACGCUGGGAAGAGACGGGCUCAGGUGGUCCCCAUCUGAGCUUGGAGUGAUGUUCUGGAGUCCCCGUUGCUCCAAUUUAGCCCUGAUGCACAGUGAUACUGACUGCCGGUCCUUGGAAACCACCUGUCAAUCACCAGGGCCAUGACUUGCUAAGGGAAUAUGAAAGACUGUAAGAAGUUUUGGCAUUUCUUGUUCGGGUGGAUUUUCCUUAAGGAAAAGUCUCAUGAAAAGAAGAAUCCUCAACAUUUCUGCUGUAGAACCACAGCAACUCUAUUCAUUAGCUCUCUUGAGUGCUAUUAGGUUUUUUUUUUCUUUUGUUCACUAGUUUCACAAAGAUUCUACCUUACCAUCAAAAAGAAUGUUUUAAAAACCAAAUUUUAUCCCACUCCCUCGCAGUGAGUUAUGGGCUCAUGGGGAAAGGAUCCCCCACUUUUGACUGUUCUAAGAAAGAGCAAGAAAUACUCUGGGAUUACGCAUUUGAAAAAAUACUCCUGGAACUUCCCUGGUGGUCCAGUGGGUAAGACUCUGCACUCCCAAUGCAGGGGGCCCGGGUUCGAUCCCUGGUCGGGGAGCUAGAUCCUGCAUGCAUGCCUCAACUAAGAGUUCGCAUGCCGCAACUAAGACCCAGUGCAGCCAAAAUAAAUAGAUAUUUAAAAAAACACUCAAAGAAAUACAUUUUUCAAUCAUUUUAAAAUAACAUUUUUUCUCAUUACAAAAGUACUACAUAUUCACCCUGGAAAGUUUGGAAGAUGCUGAGAAUUAAAAUGAAAAUGUAAAUUAUCUAUAAAUUUAUAACCACCUAUUAAUACCUGUUAACAUUUUGCCUUUUAAAAAGUGAUUUAACCAGUACUAAAGGAUAAUGUAAUCAUAGCUGAACUACUAAUAAAUUGGAGAACUAUGUAAUAAGAAAUCUAUAGGUGAUAAUUGUUGAAGCUAGGUGAUGGGUACGUGAGUGCUUAUUAUACCAUUCUAUUUUUAUAUAGAAAUUUUCCAUAAUCCAAAAAUAAAAAAGAGGUAUCUAUUUGAAAACUCCCAAAUUUUUCUGUAUGGCCAAAUUUUUAACUGAAAUGAAUUAAAAACAUAGGAGUCAAUAUUUAUUUCAAUAUAAAAGGUAACUUGCAUUUAUCCUAGUUAAAACUAAGUCUAUGUGAGGAUACUGAGCAAACGAAUUUUCAACUUCUGAUUGCUAAUAUAAUUGUUUAUUUGGUGAAAAGAUAAUUGGAAAAUCAGAAAGCAAUAUAGACAUCAUAACAUGUACACAGGAAAAAUACCAGGUGUUGCAAUCCCAUGAUCCCUAAGAGAAGAAACUCCCUGUGUCAGCCAGCUGCUGAGGUGCGGAUCCUCGGAAGGUCCGUUUUAGUUCAUCCCCUAGUGCUGAAGGCAGCUGCUAGCAAGAGCUGAAGGUGACAUAGAGUUGUGUGCUUUGAAGUCAGCAAGACCUGAAUUUGAAUCCUGCCUCCCCUCCUCCUACUGGUGUGAGCGCGUUACUUAACUUCUCUGAGGUGAAAUAGAGGUACUGUAGAUAGAGAUACUAAAACCCACCUCACUGAUUUGUUUAAGAUUCACCUGAGAUCAUUUAUAAGUGAAAGGUGGUAUAACGUAAUGGUUAAGCCUGUAGCUUCAGGAGAUAGACUGCCUGGGUUCAGUUCUUGGCUCUAGUACUUGCUUUAGCUGUGUGACCUGGGCAAAUCACUUAACCUCUCUGGGCUUCAGUUUUCUCACCUGUAAAUGGAAGAUGAUAAUAAUAGUUCUUACCUCCUACGUCCAUUGGUUGUGAAAGUUAAACAAAUUACACACAGAAAGCAUUUAGAACAGUGCUGGGCACACGGUCAAUGCUAUUACAUGUGCUUCCGUCUUCAUAUUAUUUUUUUAUUGAGAUAAAAUUUACAUGCCAUAAAAUUCACUACUUUAAAGUGUACAAUUUAAUGGGGUUUUUGUAUGUUCACGAGAAUGUGCGUCACCAUUAUCUAAUUUUAGAACGUUUUCAUUACCUCCAAAAGAAACGUGUACCUGUUAGCAGUCACUUCCUAUUCACUCUUUUCCUGGGCUCCUGACAACCAUCAGUCUAUUUUCUGUCUCUGUGGAUUUGCCUAUU